UCCCUAGUAGCAGAGGUGGUAAAGCAUCUGCUUGCAAUGCAGGAGACCUGGGUUCGAUCCCUGGGUCAGGAA
Molecule: transfer RNA, 72 nt
Filed under: Bos taurus (domestic cattle)
Lineage: Eukaryota; Metazoa; Chordata; Mammalia; Artiodactyla; Bovidae
Also listed under: 5 other names
Rfam family: tRNA
About the family: Transfer RNA (tRNA) molecules are approximately 80 nucleotides in length. Their secondary structure includes four short double-helical elements and three loops (D, anti-codon, and T loops). Further hydrogen bonds mediate the characteristic L-shaped molecular structure. tRNAs have two regions of fundamental functional importance: the anti-codon, which is responsible for specific mRNA codon recognition, and the 3' end, to which the tRNAs corresponding amino acid is attached (by aminoacyl-tRNA synthetases). tRNAs cope with the degeneracy of the genetic code in two manners: having more than one tRNA (with a specific anti-codon) for a particular amino acid; and 'wobble' base-pairing, i.e. permitting non-standard base-pairing at the 3rd anti-codon position.
Source: Rfam by way of RNAcentral